Molecule: ribosomal RNA, 828 nt
Filed under: uncultured bacterium
Lineage: Bacteria
Description: bacterial SSU rRNA
Rfam family: Bacterial small subunit ribosomal RNA
Source: RNAcentral
ANAGUUUGAUCCUGGCUCAAAUUGAACGCUGGCGGCAGGCCUAACACAUGCAAGUCGAGCGGUAACAUUUCUAGCUUGCUANAANAUGACNAGCGGCGGACGGGUGAGUAAUGCUUGGGAACAUGCCUUGAGGUGGGGGACAACAGUUGGAAACGACUGCUAAUACCGCAUAAUGUCUACGGACCAAAGGGGGCUUCGGCUCUCGCCUUUAGAUUGGCCCAAGUGGGAUUAGCUAGUUGGUGAGGUAAUGGCUCACCAAGGCGACNAUCCCUAGCUGGUUUGAGAGGAUGAUCAGCCACACUGGGACUGANACACGGCCCANACUCCUACGGGAGGCAGCAGUGGGGAAUAUUGCACAAUGGGCGCAAGCCUGAUGCANCCAUGCCGCGUGUGUGAANAAGGCCUUCGGGUUGUAAAGCACUUUCAGUCAGGAGGAAAGGUUAUUCGUUAAUACCGGCUAGCUGUGACGUUACUGACANAANAAGCACCGGCUAACUCCGUGCCAGCAGCCGCGGUAACACGGAGGGUGCGAGCGUUAAUCGGAAUUACUGGGCGUAAAGCGUACGCAGGCGGUUUGUUAAGCGAGAUGUGAAAGCCCCGGGCUCAACCUGGGAACUGCAUUUCGAACUGGCAAACUAGAGUGUGAUAGAGGGUGGUAGAAUUUCAGGUGUAGCGGUGAAAUGCGUAAAGAUCUGAAGGAAUACCGAUGGCGAAGGCAGCCACCUGGGUCAACACUGACGCUCAUGUACGAAAGCGUGGGGAGCAAACAGGAUUAGAUACCCUGGUAGUCCACNCCGUAAACGAUGUCUACUAAAAGCUCGNAACCUC